RNAcentral lists this ribosomal RNA (266 nucleotides) under uncultured Eubacteriales bacterium. Its description in RNAcentral is "uncultured Clostridiales bacterium partial 16S ribosomal RNA". It matches the Rfam family "Bacterial small subunit ribosomal RNA", at positions 74 to 339 of the family's 1533-position model. Lineage: Bacteria; Bacillati; Bacillota; Clostridia; Eubacteriales. The record is from RNAcentral.
CUUGCUUUUGUCUGUACCGAGUGGCGGACGGGUGAGUAACGCGUGAGGAACCUGUCUCAUACAGGGGGAUAACAGUUGGAAACAACUGCUAAUACCGCAUAAGACCACAGCAGCGCAUGAUGCAGAGGUCAAAGGAGGAAUCCGGUAUGAGGUGGACUCGCGUCCGAUUAGAUAGUUGGUGAGGUAACGGCCCACCAAGUCAACGAUCGGUAGCCGACCUGAGAGGGUGAUCGGCCACAUUGGAACUGAGAUACGGUCCAGACUCC